AAUGAACGCUGGCGGCAUGCCUUACACAUGCAAGUCGAACGGCAGCAUGACCUAGCUUGCUAGGUUGAUGGCGAGUGGCGAACGGGUGAGUAAUGCAUCGGAACGUGCCUUUUAGUGGGGGAUAACGUAGCGAAAGUUACGCUAAUACCGCAUAUUCUCUGAGGGGGAAAGCAGGGGACCUUCGGGCCUUGCGCUAGAAGAGCGGCCGAUGUCGGAUUAGCUAGUUGGUGAGGUAAAGGCUCACCAAGGCAACGAUCCGUAGCGGGUCUGAGAGGAUGAUCCGCCACACUGGGACUGAGACACGGCCCAGACUCCUACGGGAGGCAGCAGUGGGGAAUUUUGGACAAUGGGCGCAAGCCUGAUCCAGCCAUGCCGCGUGAGUGAAGAAGGCCUUCGGGUUGUAAAGCUCUUUCGGCUGGGAAGAAAUCGCACCCUCUAAUACAGGGUGUGGAUGACGGUACCAGCAUAAGAAGCACCGGCUAACUACGUG
Molecule: ribosomal RNA, 490 nt
Filed under: uncultured bacterium
Lineage: Bacteria
Description: partial 16S ribosomal RNA
Rfam family: Bacterial small subunit ribosomal RNA
Source: RNAcentral